This 422-nucleotide ribosomal RNA is filed under the name uncultured bacterium. RNAcentral describes it as "bacterial SSU rRNA". It matches the Rfam family "Bacterial small subunit ribosomal RNA", at positions 355 to 774 of the family's 1533-position model. The record is from RNAcentral.
UAAGGAAUAUUGGACAAUGGACGCAAGUCUGAUCCAGCCAUGCCGCGUGAAGGAUGAAUGCCCUCUGGGUUGUAAACUUCUUUUAUAGGGGAAGAAAGAUACUUUUUUUAAGGUAGUUGACGGUACCCUAUGAAUAAGCACCGGCUAACUCCGUGCCAGCAGCCGCGGUAAUACGGAGGGUGCAAGCGUUAUCCGGAUUUACUGGGUUUAAAGGGUGCGUAGGCGGGCAUGUAAGUCAGUGGUGAAAUACCGGAGCUUAACUUCGGAACUGCCAUUGAUACUAUAUGUCUUGAAUAUUGUGUAGGUCAGCGGAAUAUGUCAUGUAGCGGUGAAAUGCAUAGAUAUGACAUAGAACACCGAUUGCGGAGGCAGCUUGCUACGCAAAUAUUGACGCUGAGGCACGAAAGCGUGGGGAUCAAACA